AAUAAAGUUUUGAUUAGAAGAAGUAAUCGGCUCUGAGUGUAAAGAGAGUUCCGCUGCUGAGAAGGGACCAUUCCGACCGGUGAAAACACAUCUAUGAACUAGUUGAUUGAACAGAGUAGAUCAAUUCGCAAGUUUAGCGUUAUCAGGGUUACCGCAACUGUUAUCGGGCAUUUGUCUGCUGAGUAGUUGUUGGCAACGUAAGGCAAUCUAUCGUGAGGUAGGUGCAAAUUGGGGUGGAACCGCGAUUAAAAUUCGUCCUCGAG
Molecule: non-coding RNA, 263 nt
Filed under: Levilactobacillus brevis
Lineage: Bacteria; Bacillati; Bacillota; Bacilli; Lactobacillales; Lactobacillaceae
Description: Lactobacillus brevis T-box sequence
Rfam family: T-box leader
About the family: Uncharged tRNA acts as the effector for transcription antitermination of genes in the T-box leader family. T-boxes are found upstream of many aminoacyl-tRNA synthetase genes and some amino acid biosynthetic genes usually in Gram-positive bacteria. The anticodon of a specific tRNA base pairs to a specifier sequence within the T-box motif, and the NCCA acceptor tail of the tRNA base pairs to a conserved bulge in the T-box antiterminator hairpin.
Source: RNAcentral